RNAcentral lists this ribosomal RNA (86 nucleotides) under Clostridiales bacterium. Its description in RNAcentral is "partial 23S ribosomal RNA". It matches the Rfam family "Bacterial large subunit ribosomal RNA", at positions 2839 to 2925 of the family's 2925-position model. The record is from RNAcentral. Lineage: Bacteria; Bacillati; Bacillota; Clostridia; Eubacteriales.
UGAAGACGACGAGGUAGAUAGGGCAGAGGUGGAAGUACAGUAAUGUAUGGAGCUGACUGUUACUAAUCGGGUGAGGGCUUGACCAA